GCAGAGCACUCCGUACGGGAGGCAGCAGUGGGAAUAUUGCACAAUGGGCGCAAGCCUGAUGCAGCCAUGCGCGUGUAUGAAGAAGGCCUUCGGGUUGUAAAGUACUUUCAGCAGUGAGGAAGGUGGGUAUGUUAAUAGCAUACUCAUUUGACGUUAGCUGCAGAAGAAGCACCGGCUAACUCCGUGCCAGCAGCCGCGGUAAUACGGAGGGUGCGAGCGUUAAUCGGAAUUACUGGGCGUAAAGCGCAUGCAGGUGGUUUGUUAAGUCAGAUGUGAAAGCCCGGGGCUCAACCUCGGAAUUGCAUUUGAAACUGGCAAACUAGAGUACUGUAGAGGGGGUAGAAUUUCAGGUGUAGCGGUGAAAUGCGUAGAGAUCUGAAGGAAUACCGGUGGCGAAGGCGGCCCCCUGGACAGAUACUGACACUCAGAUGCGAAAGCGUGGGGAGCAAACAGGAUUAGAUACCCUGGUAG
Molecule: ribosomal RNA, 471 nt
Filed under: uncultured bacterium
Lineage: Bacteria
Description: bacterial SSU rRNA
Rfam family: Bacterial small subunit ribosomal RNA
Source: RNAcentral